GACGAACGCUGGCGGCGUGCCUAAUACAUGCAAGUAGAACGCUGAAGGAGGAGCUUGCUUCUCUGGAUGAGUUGCGAACGGGUGAGUAACGCGUAGGUAACCUGCCUGGUAGCGGGGGAUAACUAUUGGAAACGAUAGCUAAUACCGCAUAAUAGCAGUUAUUGCAUGAUAACUGUUUGAAAGGUGCAAUUGCACCACUACCAGAUGGACCUGCGUUGUAUUAGCUAGUUGGUGGGGUAACGGCUCACCAAGGCGACGAUACAUAGCCGACCUGAGAGGGUGAUCGGCCACACUGGGACUGAGACACGGCCCAGACUCCUACGGGAGGCAGCAGUAGGGAAUCUUCGGCAAUGGACGGAAGUCUGACCGAGCAACGCCGCGUGAGUGAAGAAGGUUUUCGGAUCGUAAAGCUCUGUUGUAAGAGAAGAACGAGUGUGAGAGUGGAAAGUUCACACUGNGACGG
RNAcentral lists this ribosomal RNA (463 nucleotides) under uncultured bacterium. Its description in RNAcentral is "bacterial SSU rRNA". It matches the Rfam family "Bacterial small subunit ribosomal RNA", at positions 28 to 475 of the family's 1533-position model. The record is from RNAcentral.